UAUCACAAUAUUGGAUACGACAUCUAGGUCUUGUUCAACAGGGCAGAUUGAUGCAUUUUGAGACGAAUUUUUUGUUGAAGAUUUAGUUAGAUUUUAUUACUUUUAUUUAGAAAUAUGAUUAUAUGAUUUUUUAGAUAGUUUUGAAGAUCAAAUCAGAUUUAAAUGUGAUUUAAAUUUGAAUUUGAAAUAAACCAAAUCAUAUCUUUC
RNAcentral lists this long non-coding RNA (207 nucleotides) under Lathyrus oleraceus (garden pea). RNAcentral describes it as "Pisum sativum (pea) long non-coding RNA (PSAT_LNC035757)". The record is from RNAcentral. Lineage: Eukaryota; Viridiplantae; Streptophyta; Magnoliopsida; Fabales; Fabaceae.